GAGUUUGAUCCUGGCUCAGGACGAACGCUGGCGGCGCGCCUAACACAUGCAAGUCGAACGGAGCUGAGAGGAGCUUGCUUUUCUUAGCUUAGUGGCGAACGGGUGAGUAACGCGUGAGUAACCUGCCCUGGAGUGGGGGACAACAGUUGGAAACGACUGCUAAUACCGCAUAAGCCCACGAUCCGGCAUCGGAUUGAGGGAAAAGGAUUUAUUCGCUUCAGGAUGGACUCGCGUCCAAUUAGCUAGUUGGUGAGGUAACGGCCCACCAAGGCGACGAUCCAUAGCCGGCCUGAGAGGGUGAACGGCCACAUUGGGACUGAGACACGGCCCAGACUCCUACGGGAGGCAGCAGUGGGGAAUAUUGCACAAUGGGGGAAACCCUGAUGCAGCGACGCCGCGUGGAGGAAGAAGGUCUUCGGAUUGUAAACUCCUGUUGUUGAGGAAGAUAAUGACGGUACUCAACAAGGAAGUGACGGCUAACUACGUGCCAGCCGCCGCGGUAAUUC
RNAcentral lists this ribosomal RNA (506 nucleotides) under uncultured bacterium. RNAcentral's name for it is "bacterial SSU rRNA". It matches the Rfam family "Bacterial small subunit ribosomal RNA", at positions 9 to 526 of the family's 1533-position model. The record is from RNAcentral.